RNAcentral lists this transfer RNA (70 nucleotides) under Salmo salar (Atlantic salmon). It matches the Rfam family "tRNA". Rfam says of the family: Transfer RNA (tRNA) molecules are approximately 80 nucleotides in length. Their secondary structure includes four short double-helical elements and three loops (D, anti-codon, and T loops). Lineage: Eukaryota; Metazoa; Chordata; Actinopteri; Salmoniformes; Salmonidae. The record is from Rfam by way of RNAcentral.
CCCCGUGUGGCUCAGGUGGUAGAGCAUGGUGUUUGCAACGCCAGGGUUGUGGGUUCGAUUCCCACGGGGG